RNAcentral lists this ribosomal RNA (342 nucleotides) under Vibrio parahaemolyticus. RNAcentral describes it as "partial 23S ribosomal RNA". It matches the Rfam family "Bacterial large subunit ribosomal RNA", at positions 1087 to 1429 of the family's 2925-position model. Lineage: Bacteria; Pseudomonadati; Pseudomonadota; Gammaproteobacteria; Vibrionales; Vibrionaceae. The record is from RNAcentral.
AGACAGCCAGGAUGUUGGCUUAGAAGCAGCCAUCAUUUAAAGAAAGCGUAAUAGCUCACUGGUCGAGUCGGCCUGCGCGGAAGAUGUAACGGGGCUAAGUAGUAAACCGAAGCUGCGGCAAUAUACUUUUGUAUAUUGGGUAGGGGAGCGUUCUGUAAGCGGUUGAAGGUGUGUGGUAACGCAUGCUGGACGUAUCAGAAGUGCGAAUGCUGACAUGAGUAACGAUAAAGGGGGUGAAAAACCUCCUCGCCGGAAGACCAAGGGUUCCUGUCCAACGUUAAUCGGGGCAGGGUAAGUCGACCCCUAAGGCGAGGCCGAAAGGCGUAGUCGAUGGGAAACGGG